GACGAACGCUGGCGGCGCGCCUAACACAUGCAAGUCGAACGAGCGAGAGAGAGCUUACUUUCUCGAGCGAGUGGCGAACGGGUGAGUAACGCGUGAGGAACCUGCCUCAAAGAGGGGGAAAACAGUUGGAAACGACUGCUAAUACCGCAUAAGCCCACGGCUCGGCAUCGAGCAGAGGGAAAAGGAGCAAUCCGCUUUGAGAUGGCCUCGCGUCCGAUUAGCUAGUUGGUGAGGUAACGGCCCACCAAGGCGACGAUCGGUAGCCGGACUGAGAGGUUGAACGGCCACAUUGGGACUGAGACACGGCCCAGACUCCUACGGGAGGCAGCAGUGGGGAAUAUUGCACAAUGGGGGAAACCCUGAUGCAGCGACGCCGCGUGGAGGAAGAAGGUCUUCGGAUUGUAAACUCCUGUUGUUGAGGAAGAUAAUGACGGUACUCAACAAGGAAGUGACGGCUAACUACGUGCCAGCAGCCGCGGUAAAACGUAGGUCACAAGCGUUGUCCGGAAUUACUGGGUGUAAAGGGAGCGCAGGCGGGAAGACAAGUUGGAAGUGAAAUCCAUGGGCUCAACCCAUGAACUGCUUUCAAAACUGUUUUUCUUGAGUAGUGCAGAGGUAGGCGGAAUUCCCGGUGUAGCGGUGGAAUGCGUAGAUAUCGGGAGGAACACCAGUGGCGAAGGCGGCCUACUGGGCACCAACUGACGCUGAGGCUCGAAAGUGUGGGUAGCAAACAGGAUUAGAUACCCUGGUAGUCCACACUGUAAACGAUGAUUACUAGGUGUUGGAGGAUUGACCCCUUCAGUGCCGCAGUUAACACAAUAAGUAAUCCACCUGGGGAGUACGACCGCAAGGUUGAAACUCAAAGGAAUUGACGGGGGCCCGCACAAGCAGUGGAGUAUGUGGUUUAAUUCGACGCAACGCGAAGAACCUUACCAAGUCUUGACAUCCUGCGACGCACAUAGAAAUAUGUGUUUCCUUCGGGACGCAGAGACAGGUGGUGCAUGGUUGUCGUCAGCUCGUGUCGUGAGAUGUUGGGUUAAGUCCCGCAACGAGCGCAACCCUUAUGGUCAGUUACUACGCAAGAGGACUCUGGCCAGACUGCCGUUGACAAAACGGAGGAAGGUGGGGAUGACGUCAAAUCAUCAUGCCCUUUAUGACUUGGGCUACACACGUACUACAAUGGCGUUAAACAAAGAGAAGCAAGACCGCGAGGUGGAGCAAAACUCAGAAACAACGUCCCAGUUCGGACUGCAGGCUGCAACUCGCCUGCACGAAGUCGGAAUUGCUAGUAAUCGCAGAUCAGCAUGCUGCGGUGAAUACGUUCCCGGGCCU
This 1332-nucleotide ribosomal RNA is filed under the name uncultured bacterium. RNAcentral's name for it is "bacterial SSU rRNA". It matches the Rfam family "Bacterial small subunit ribosomal RNA", at positions 28 to 1381 of the family's 1533-position model. The record is from RNAcentral.